Molecule: non-coding RNA, 565 nt
Organism: Pelobates cultripes (western spadefoot toad)
Lineage: Eukaryota; Metazoa; Chordata; Amphibia; Anura; Pelobatidae
Source: the annotation of a GenBank genome assembly
UGCAAGAUGUCUGAAGGGAAGCGUGUUAAUAUUUAUACAGACUCAAUGUAUGCCCUGGGCGUGGAACAUGACUUUGGGUUAAUCUGGAAAACCAGGGGGUUCCUUACAGCAACAGGUACUCCUGUUAAACAUGGCACAGCUAUCAAAGAAUUGAUGGAUGCCUUACUUCUUCCUGAAGAGGUAAAGGCCCACGAGAGACUAAAUUCAGAAGAAGCACAUGGCAACCAUUUAGCCGACCAGGCCGCUAAGGAUGCGGCACGCCAGUGUCGGGAAGUGAACAGAAGAGUGUCCGUCGAAAAGACUCCUAUUUACACUAUGCGAACCCUACCCACCGAUCUCAAGCUUCUAAGAAAACAACAGGCCGCCGCCACCCCUCAAGAAAAACAAAGCUGAAAAGUCAAAGGAGCAACCCUCCAGAAUGAAGUAUACACAAUCAACCUCAAAUUCUGUCUACCCAAGAAUAUGUAUCCAGCUGUCAUUCAGUGGGCCCAUGGACCAACUCAUUUAUCUAAGCAUCUCAUGAACUCUUUGAUUGAUAAAUAUUUUGAAGCACCCGGAAUCACCA